This 253-nucleotide ribosomal RNA is filed under the name uncultured bacterium. RNAcentral's name for it is "partial 16S ribosomal RNA". It matches the Rfam family "Bacterial small subunit ribosomal RNA", at positions 524 to 776 of the family's 1533-position model. The record is from RNAcentral.
UACGGAGGGGGCUAGCGUUGUUCGGAAUUACUGGGCGUAAAGCGCACGUAGGCGGCUUUGCAAGUUAGAGGUGAAAGCCCGGGGCUCAACUCCGGAAUUGCCUUUAAAACUGCAUCGCUAGAAUUGUGGAGAGGUAAGUGGAAUUCCGAGUGUAGAGGUGAAAUGCGUAGAUAUCGGGAGGAACACCUGUGGCGAAAGCGGCGCACUGGACCACAACUGACGCUGAGGCGCGAAAGCUAGGGGAGCGAACGGG